GAUGAAGAACGCAGCGAAAUGCGAUAAGUAAUGUGAAUUGCAGAAUUCAGUGAAUCAUCGAAUCUUUGAACGCACAUUGCGCCCCUUGGUAUUCCGGGGGGCAUGCCUCUUCCAGCGUCAUUUCACCCCUCAAGCUCUGCUUGGUUCUGGGCCGCGCCGGCAACGGCGGGCCUCGAAAAUAGUGGCGACGCCAUCGUGCUCUCAGCGUAGUAAUUCUUCUCGCUGUUGGGUCCCGGUGGUCGUCCGCCAGCAACCCCCAACUUUCUUAAGUUUGACCUGGGAUGAGGUAGGGAUACCCGCUGAACUUAAGCAUAUCAAUAAGCGGAGGA
Molecule: unclassified non-coding RNA, 329 nt
Filed under: soil metagenome
Description: partial contains 5.8S ribosomal RNA, internal transcribed spacer 2, and large subunit ribosomal RNA
Rfam family: 5.8S ribosomal RNA (bases 1-120)
Source: RNAcentral